Molecule: ribosomal RNA, 791 nt
Filed under: uncultured Neocallimastigales
Lineage: Eukaryota; Fungi; Neocallimastigomycota; Neocallimastigomycetes; Neocallimastigales
Description: partial large subunit ribosomal RNA
Rfam family: Eukaryotic large subunit ribosomal RNA
Source: RNAcentral
GAGACUCUGUGCGCGUGCAUAUCAAUAAGCGGAGGAAAAGAAACUAACUAAGGAUUCCCUCAGUAACGGCGAGUGAAGCGGGAAGAGCUCAAAUUUGAAAUCUUCAAGGUUCUACCUUGACGAAUUGUAGUUUAUAGAAGUGUUUUCUGUUAGUAGAGUGGCAAAAGUUCUUUGGAAUAGGACAUCAUAGAGGGUGAGAAUCCCGUAUUUGGUACAUUUCUCCUAGCUGUUGUGAUACACUUUCGAACGAGUCGGAUUGUUUGGGAAUGCAGUCCAAGAUGGGUGGUAAAUUUCAUCUAAAGCUAAAUAUUGGCGAGAGACCGAUAGCGAACAAGUACCGUGAGGGAAAGAUGAAAGAACUUUGAAAAGAGAGUUAAACAGUACGUGAAAUUGUCAAAAGGGAAGCGUUUGACACCAGUGUUGUUUAGUUCGAAAAUCAAUUCUAAUAGUUUUUGAUUCUGAGGAGUGAUUGACUUCAUCAGGCUUGCUGCUUUCUUCUCACGAAACUUAUUGUAAUGCACUUUUCAGGUUAACAAGUCAACAUCAAUUUCUUUUGUUGUAAAAGAGGUCAUUGAGGAAGGUGGCUUUCAUUUCGGUAGAAAGUGUUUAUAGCCUUGUGACUUCUGCAAUCGGAGAGAUUGAGGUCUGCAGCGUAGAUCCUUCGGGGUUAGAUACAUUUGUGCUAAGUUAUAGCUUUUCAUAGACAACUUGUUGACUAUGUUUAGUCUUGUAGCUUACUCGCUUACUGCUAUUUUACCUACGCUUAGGAUGUUGACAGCAGUAUAGACUGU